This is a non-coding RNA of Lactuca sativa (garden lettuce), 1267 nucleotides long. The record is from RefSeq and is a predicted model, not a curated record. NCBI's taxonomy places the organism in Eukaryota, Viridiplantae, Streptophyta, Magnoliopsida, Asterales, Asteraceae.
UUGGGAAUCAACUACGUGAUUUAUAUCAAGAAAUCAUUAAUUCUAAAAACCUAACAUUCCAAAGAAUCAACAAUUACAUAGCAACAAAUCAGGAAACAGUAUCAUCUCCAAAUCAACAAUUAAAUCACAAUAACCGGUGAUGCUCCUCUCUUUAUCUCUGUUUGAUUUUUUUAACGAUCGGAAGCUUCAGGGGGUAUUGUAGAUGUGUGUAUGUGUGCGUGGUUUUAGAGAACAUAGAAUGGGUUUGGAUGAAUUUUGGUCAAUUUUUUCGAUUUCAGGACUGGAUGUUUGGGGGUUUUUCAAUUAUUCAGUCGUCGUUUUGUGCUUUACCUACACAGUCUGAUUCCUCAAUAUGACGAAGAAGUAGAUCCAUACGAAGGGUUAUUCGUAUAUAAGCAUACCAAAAUUCUCAGGAUCAAAGAACAGUCGGAAGAUCCACACCGGGGAAGGAGAAAUCAAGGAGGGAUCACCGAAGCUCCUGAAUAAAUUAGCAUUAUAAAGGUAAUUCAUUCCAAUUUUUUUUGUCAAUUUCCCUAUUUGGUCGAUUUGCUGAAAGUAAUCCUACAGGUUUCAACCCUAAUUUUUAGAUAUGCUUAUCAUUAGACCUCCUUUCUCUUCUCCAAUCCUCUAUCUGACAUCAGGGGUGAUUAUGUUUCGUGUUUCGAAUCUACUAUUUUGCUCAAUAUCAUCAUCAGACUUGCUUUCUCUUCUCUAAUCCUUAAUAUUUUUAGAUAUGCUUAUCAUCAGACCUCCAAUCCUCUUUCUGGCAUCAGGUAUGAUUGUGUUUUGUGUUUCCAAUCCACUUGAAGCUUUUGUCUCCAUGUUGAAGUUCUCCCACACGUUGUGGCUUUCACCCAACUCGCUUUGAGUGAAAUUGAUUAGAUUCUGAUUCUCAUGAAAGCUUACUUUUGAUUUUUUGGAUUUAUGUUUUCGUUUACAGAUUGAUGGUUAGUGAUAUAUGAGAUUCAGUUCAGUUAGAAGCUGAUGAUGCACCAAGAAGAAGUUUUGUGUAUCAAGGGUCGAUAAUAAACGAAUCUUGCAACUAGAUAAAUUUUUGUGAAGGAUGGCCGCUAUAACCGGUGCUGUCAAGAAAUAGCAACGUACUCUCAAUAUUAAAUUUUAAAAUAAACGAAAAUGGAGAAUACAGGGGCAAUUUAGGUAUAUUGGUAUAUUGUUUUUAUUUAAUCCUAUUUUUCAUGUUAUUAAAGAACAACAAACAUUAGGCUAACUUUUAAAUUUACAUUGGGUUGACAUGAAUUAAAGGGGA